This 465-nucleotide ribosomal RNA is filed under the name Vreelandella stevensii. Its description in RNAcentral is "partial 16S ribosomal RNA". It matches the Rfam family "Bacterial small subunit ribosomal RNA", at positions 338 to 795 of the family's 1533-position model. Lineage: Bacteria; Pseudomonadati; Pseudomonadota; Gammaproteobacteria; Oceanospirillales; Halomonadaceae. The record is from RNAcentral.
CCUACGGGGGGCAGCAGUGGGGAAUAUUGGACAAUGGGCGAGAGCCUGAUCCAGCCAUGCCGCGUGUGUGAAGAAGGCCUUCGGGUUGUAAAGCACUUUCAGUGGGGAAGAAAGCCUUGGGGCUAAUACCCUCGAGGAAGGACAUCACCCACAGAAGAAGCACCGGCUAACUCCGUGCCAGCAGCCGCGGUAAUACGGAGGGUGCGAGCGUUAAUCGGAAUUACUGGGCGUAAAGCGCGCGUAGGCGGUCUGAUAAGCCGGUUGUGAAAGCCCCGGGCUCAACCUGGGAACGGCAUCCGGAACUGUCAGGCUAGAGUGCAGGAGAGGAAGGUAGAAUUCCCGGUGUAGCGGUGAAAUGCGUAGAGAUCGGGAGGAAUACCAGUGGCGAAGGCGGCCUUCUGGACUGACACUGACGCUGAGGUGCGAAAGCGUGGGUAGCAAACAGGAUUACAUACCCUAGUAGUC